This is a long non-coding RNA of Exaiptasia diaphana, 384 nucleotides long. RefSeq lists it as uncharacterized. The transcript is spliced from 2 exons. The record is from RefSeq and is a predicted model, not a curated record. Lineage: Eukaryota; Metazoa; Cnidaria; Anthozoa; Actiniaria; Aiptasiidae.
UUUUUUUCAUGAAUGGGAUAAAACAUCAGUUCCACGUUUCAUGGUACUCGUGCAACAAAACCCUUUUUACUCCGACGAAGGAUUAACGAAAGAUUAAUAUCCAAAUCGUCAGCCAGUCGGCUCUCCAGUAAUACACCACAAAAUAUCGAAGAAUUCCAUGGAUGUUCUCUGGUGCUAUNUUAGACCAAGUCAUAAACAAACUGGACGAGCUGGAAUUGGUAACAGUAAGAUUCCUUACUGGUGCAGUUGGAGCUAAACACAAGAAAAAAUGUCACGUAAAUUAGUUAACCAGAAAUACGUCAAAAUAGAUUCUAUUAAUGCAGAAUGUGUAAAGAACAAGUCGAUGAUAGAAAGUUCAUGAAAUAAACACACGACCAUCAUGCA